UUUCAAUUGCAAAGAAAAACUAGUAGCAAUUGUCAAUUUGUGCAGUCUACUACAAAAUUUCAAUCCCUCAUCCUCUCCCUUGAAGUCUUAUACCCAGCACCAGCAGCCCCCAGUCCUUGCCCUGCUUCCACCCAUCGACGAUAACUAACCUCUCCGCCUAUGGCCUCCUGCUUUGCCACUGCUUCAUUGUUGAGAGUUAGGCAUCAGUGAGUCUGCUCUCUCCCUCUCUCCCUUUUUUUUUUUUUUUUUGUUGUUCUUUUAAAGUUUAGUUCAUUUUUAUUAUUAUCAUUUGUGAUUUAUAUUUUAUGAAUUAUUUUUACGAGUUAUGGAUGUGAUUGUGAGCCUAUAGUGUUAAUUGUACCGAUUUUGAUUUUUGUGAAUUUGAGAAUUGGAGAUUUUGUGAAUUUGAUAAUAUUGGGGAUUUUGCAUUGAAUGAUGAUGUUUAUGAUUUAUGAAAGUUGGG
This 463-nucleotide long non-coding RNA is filed under the name Olea europaea subsp. europaea. Lineage: Eukaryota; Viridiplantae; Streptophyta; Magnoliopsida; Lamiales; Oleaceae. The record is from RNAcentral.